AGGCCCCGCAAGGGGAGCGGCAGACGGGUGAGUAACACGUGGGAACGUGCCUUUUGGUUCGGAACAACCCAGGGAAACUUGGGCUAAUACCGGAUAAGCCCUUACGGGGAAAGAUUUAUCGCCAAAAGAUCGGCCCGCGUCUGAUUAGCUAGUUGGUGGGGUAAUGGCCCACCAAGGCGACGAUCAGUAGCUGGUCUGAGAGGAUGAUCAGCCUCACUGGGACUGAGACACGGCCCAGACUCCUACGGGAGGCAGCAGUGGG
This 262-nucleotide ribosomal RNA is filed under the name uncultured Hyphomicrobiales bacterium. RNAcentral's name for it is "uncultured Rhizobiales bacterium partial 16S ribosomal RNA". It matches the Rfam family "Bacterial small subunit ribosomal RNA", at positions 79 to 358 of the family's 1533-position model. The record is from RNAcentral. Lineage: Bacteria; Pseudomonadati; Pseudomonadota; Alphaproteobacteria; Hyphomicrobiales.